Molecule: RNA transcript, 1507 nt
Organism: Oryzias melastigma (Indian medaka)
Lineage: Eukaryota; Metazoa; Chordata; Actinopteri; Beloniformes; Adrianichthyidae
Exons: 3
Source: RefSeq, a predicted model, not a curated record
UUAAAGAUUUUUUUCAACCAUUUCCUUGUGAGUCUAGGUUAAAAGAAUGCAAUUUGUCAGACAAUAGCUGUGCUGAAAUAGCCUCAGCUCUGAGGCUCAACCCGUCCCAUCUGACAGAACUGGACCUGAGUGGAAACCAACUUAAGGACUCGGGAGUAAAGCACCUGAGAGGCUUUCUGGAGAGUCCUGCUUGCAGACUGAAGACUCUAAGGCUGGCUGACUGCAGUUUGUCAAAGCCCAGCUGUGAUGAUCUGGUCUCAGCUUUGAAGUGUAACCCAUCCCAUCUGACAGAACUGGACCUGAGCUGGAACGACCUGGAUGAAUCAGAUGUUCAGCAGCUCUCUGACAUGGUGGAGAGUCCAGAUGUAAAACUGGAAACUCUAAAAUGGGAUUGAUGAAGACAACCUUGAUGUGAUUGGCUCAUCAUGGUCAGGCAAAUAAGAAGCAGAACUUGGGUUGGUUUGGUUUACCCCGGAUUUUCUUUCAACUCAGUUUGAUGGUGACGGAUUUUAAAGUUUACUCUGUUUAAAUGUGCUCUGUAUAUUUCACAGCUGUCUCUUAAAUGUAUCAGUGUCUUUCCUUCAUUUUUUUAAUCAAAGAUCAUCCCUUAAUCCUGUUUUUUUAAAAUCUCUUUUGGUAUUUGGUCAUCUGCUAGACACUGGGUUCCCAUCCCAGGGUUCUGAGUUAGAUGCAAAGACACACAGACAGAGGGAGCCUCAGGCAUGGAUGCAAAUCUGGAUUUUUACAUUCUGAUUACAUAAUUUUAAAACACUUAAUCUGCUUCAUCUAGAUGAUCUCAUAACCUCUUACUUGACUUUUGUUUGAUGAUAAAAUGUGUUUGAUUUUUUUUCGGUAGUGGGAGAGCAAAAGUCACUGGUACAAAUUUUUCACAAAUUGAAAAGCAAAGUCAUCUGAUCAAUUUUUAGAACAAAAAUAUAUAUGUUUGUAUCUAUCUAUCUAUCUAUCUAUCUAUCUAUCUAUCUAUCUAUCUAUCUAUCUAUCUAUCUAUAACAAAAUAACCAUUUUAUCAAAAGAUACAUAGACAAUUUAUUGUGUAAAACACAACAAAAGCAUUUAUCAAACACCAUACAAAAUUUUUUAUGGUUGAAAAAGGGAUAUGGACACUACAUAAAUGCUUUGAUUAAAUGUUGAUUAAAUAGGAAGGCUCAAGACUUACUUUUGUAAUCUGACUUUUAGCUGAAAUGUAGGGCUAAUAUUUAUUUAAUAUUUAUAUUAUUUUAUGUAUUCAUACUGUUUUUACUUAUUUGUUUUUAUUCAUCUUCAUUUUAUUCAUUUUUGGUUAUUCAUUUCUUUUUGUGUGAUUUAACUGUGAACAUUUUGUUUAAACCAUUGUUUGUCUCAGAAGGAUCCUCCUCCACGCUAGUGAUGAACCAGUUUUGUUUGACACCGUGAGGAGGAUAUUGUGUGUUUUAAAAUGUAUUUUUUGUGUGUAUGAAGGUCUUUUGUUUCUGCAUUUGAAAUAAAAAAAAUGUAUUUAUUAUGUGAA